AAGAAAGUGGCAGAGUGGUUAUGCAGUUGGCUUGAAACUAGCUUAUAGGGGUUCAACUCCCUUCUUUCUCG
This 71-nucleotide transfer RNA is filed under the name Zenarchopterus dispar (feathered river-garfish). Its description in RNAcentral is "tRNA-Ser". It matches the Rfam family "tRNA". From Rfam's summary of the family: Transfer RNA (tRNA) molecules are approximately 80 nucleotides in length. Their secondary structure includes four short double-helical elements and three loops (D, anti-codon, and T loops). Further hydrogen bonds mediate the characteristic L-shaped molecular structure. tRNAs have two regions of fundamental functional importance: the anti-codon, which is responsible for specific mRNA codon recognition, and the 3' end, to which the tRNAs corresponding amino acid is attached (by aminoacyl-tRNA synthetases). tRNAs cope with the degeneracy of the genetic code in two manners: having more than one tRNA (with a specific anti-codon) for a particular amino acid; and 'wobble' base-pairing, i.e. permitting non-standard base-pairing at the 3rd anti-codon position. Lineage: Eukaryota; Metazoa; Chordata; Actinopteri; Beloniformes; Zenarchopteridae. The record is from RNAcentral.